RNAcentral lists this long non-coding RNA (253 nucleotides) under Sorghum bicolor (sorghum). Its description in RNAcentral is "long non-coding RNA (SBIC_LNC017335)". The record is from RNAcentral. Lineage: Eukaryota; Viridiplantae; Streptophyta; Magnoliopsida; Poales; Poaceae.
GUUGCACUUGAUAUGAAACUUUCAGCACUUGUGCAUAUAAACCAACUAAUCUCUCAGACUUUCUUUAUGAACCUUUCUCAACUUUUUUCACUUCACUUUUUUUUGCACUUUAUUUUUUUUUGACAAUUUUAUUAUAUAUAGAACUAAAAACAGGGACCAGAUUAUGAUACUUGCACAACUAAAGAUAGAAAUAAAACAAUAACCAGUAUCUAGAUAGGAUCAAAGUUGACACAAAGGAUGAUAUAGGCUAUAG